UUCUCUUCUCCCCUCACUAGAUGGAUCUGCUUGGUCAACGGAUGCACAGACGUUUUCUUUGUGUGGUUGCACGCUGACGGGUGCAUGGGAGGGAGGGUCCAUGCUGCGCGAUGAUCAAUGCAUCACUUCACUCAGCGCAUGUCGACCAGGCAUGCAAAUCACUUACUUGCAGU
Molecule: non-coding RNA, 173 nt
Filed under: Chromera velia
Lineage: Eukaryota; Chromeraceae
Source: RNAcentral